ACUUUCAACAAUGGGUCUCUUGGCUCUCGCAUCGACGAAGAACGCAGCGAAAUGCGAUAAGUAAUGUGAAUUGCAGAAUUCCGUGAAUCAUCAAAUUUUUGAACGCAAAUUGCACUUCUUGGUAUUCCAAGAAGUACACCUGCUUGAGGGU
Molecule: ribosomal RNA, 151 nt
Filed under: uncultured Scutellospora
Lineage: Eukaryota; Fungi; Glomeromycota; Glomeromycetes; Diversisporales; Gigasporaceae
Description: partial 5.8S ribosomal RNA
Rfam family: 5.8S ribosomal RNA
About the family: 5.8S ribosomal RNA (5.8S rRNA) is a component of the large subunit of the eukaryotic ribosome.
Source: RNAcentral